Long non-coding RNA from Drosophila mojavensis, 902 nucleotides. RefSeq lists it as uncharacterized. The transcript is spliced from 3 exons. Lineage: Eukaryota; Metazoa; Arthropoda; Insecta; Diptera; Drosophilidae. The record is from RefSeq and is a predicted model, not a curated record.
CGCUUCAGUCUUUAGUGGAGCGGCGUGCAGUGUGCUAAGGUCGGCAGGUGCAAAAGCGAAAGGCAGCGCUCGCUGCUGCGGCUGCUGCUGUUGCUGCGAGCUAAUUUGUGUUGCCUACAUUUUGGCGCGCGCGUUUAAGCUGAGUUUAUGUGAAAUGUGACAAACGCAGAGACAGAGUCGCAAUACAAAGAAAGACAGUUACAAAGCCAAAGCGAACGCUAUUUACGGUUCGAAGUUCUUGUUGUUGUCGUUGUUGUUGUUAGUGUGUGUGUGCUGCCUCAGGAGACAUUUAACAUAAUAAAAACGAACGUGUGCGGCAUUCGUUGCUGUUUUUGCCAAGUUUUUGUAGCUGUCUGUGUUGGUUUUGUUUAAUGCUAAUAACACACAGAUACAGCACAAGCACACACACACACACAGUUAGCAGAAACAAUAUUGCAAAUGUGUGCGGCAAAGCAGUUGGCAAAAGUGUCGUAAAUCGUUUAGACGGCAAACGUGGCAAGCGCCCAGAACACGGACACAGGACACAGGCACACACACAGCCAGGACGAUAUGUAAACGACAAUUCCAUCGUGGGAAAAACAUUUUGUAUAUAUUUAUAUACACACACACAUAUAUAUAUAUAUAUAUAUAUAUAGAUGAAUGUAUAUAUGGAUGCUGCCUGCUGAUAGCGACUGCUCCUUUCCUUAGUUCAUGAAAAUACUUCAAAAUGCAUCGAGACUGAAAAUUCACAGGAAAAUCCAAUUGCAAAUAGCAAAUGCGUUCGACGUGGCUCACACUGGCGGAAUGGGAAAUCUCUUUGGGAGAGGCCUCUUCAGCAUAAUUUUAUUUAUUUCUUUUUGGAAAAUGUAUGAAAAUGUUUUAUGUGGCACAACAAUAAAUAUAAAAAUAUUGCAAUAAAUAAA